GACAUUGUCUGUCUUCAUGUACCACUUGCACACCUCAGGUACCGUUAAUCCGAUCCGUUCAUCCUGCUCCAUCAGUUCUGGGGAUUCACAACGGUCAACAGGGACGAAAUCCAGCCAAUCCAAGGACGAAAAGUGAGGUGUUUAUUGUGCUCCGAGGAGUUUGGGUGCAAUAACAGCACCUCCUCCAUGCUGAGGCCUCACCGUGCCUUGCAUGAGAAUAAGGAGGAAACUGGAGCUUCACCCAGCCAAGCUGGAUGAAGCCUCGUCUCCAUGACAGCGAAGGACACGCAGCCCUUCAGUAUUGUGGAUGAUUCAGGGCAUUUGUGUCCAAACUGGAUCCUCAUCAUGUUCUCCCUACAAGGCAGGCUCUGCAGGCCGUGGUGGAGGCUGAGUAGGAGUCAGCUAAGGAGAAGGCUAAAGUGGAAAAGGUGGCUGCUGUUAGCCUUACUUCUGACAUGUGGACAUCCAUCAGUAUGGAUGCCUACCUGGCUGUAAGGUGCCACUUUGUGGGGGAGAAAACCACACUGGGUUCAGUGCUUCCCCCGAUCACACACUGCUGAACAUAUAGCUCGUGUGAAAGCCUCCCUGAUGGAGGAAUGGGGAAUCGAUCAUAAGGUGACGUGUGUGGUCACUGAUGGUGCUCCCAAUGUGGUUUCCUGUGUGA
This is a long non-coding RNA of Gasterosteus aculeatus aculeatus (three-spined stickleback), 664 nucleotides long. The record is from Ensembl. NCBI's taxonomy places the organism in Eukaryota, Metazoa, Chordata, Actinopteri, Perciformes, Gasterosteidae.